This 301-nucleotide ribosomal RNA is filed under the name uncultured bacterium. RNAcentral's name for it is "partial 16S ribosomal RNA". It matches the Rfam family "Bacterial small subunit ribosomal RNA", at positions 509 to 808 of the family's 1533-position model. The record is from RNAcentral.
CAGUAGCCGCGGUAAGACGAACCGUGCGAACGUUAUUCGGAAUCACUGGGCUUAAAGCGCGUGUAGGCGGAUGGGGACGUCGGUAGCUGAAAGCCCCCGGCUCAACCGGGGAAGUGGCGCCGGAACGCCCCGUCUGGAGGGACGUAGGGGGACCUGGAACUUCCGGUGGAGCGGUGAAAUGCGUUGAGAUCGGAAGGAACGCCCGUGGCGAAAGCGAGGUCCUGGACGUCUACUGACGCUGAGACGCGAAAGCUAGGGGAGCGAACGGGAUUAGAGACCCCAGUAGUCCCUGUCUCUUAUA